This 250-nucleotide ribosomal RNA is filed under the name uncultured prokaryote. Its description in RNAcentral is "partial 16S ribosomal RNA". It matches the Rfam family "Bacterial small subunit ribosomal RNA", at positions 524 to 773 of the family's 1533-position model. The record is from RNAcentral.
UACGGAAGGUCCGGGCGUUAUCCGGAUUUAUUGGGUUUAAAGGGAGCGCAGGCUGGAGAUUAAGCGUGACGUGAAAUGUCCCGGCUCAACCGGGGAGUUGCGUCGCGAACUGGGUUUCUUGAGUGCGGACGAGGCAUGCGGAAUUCGUGGUGUAGCGGUGAAAUGCUUAGAUAUCACGAAGAACCCCGAUUGCGAAGGCAGCGUGCCAGGCCGUAACUGACGCUAAUGCUCGAAGGUGCGGGUAUCGAAC